GACGAACGCUGGCGGCGUGCUUAACACAUGCAAGUCGAACGGUUAAGGGAUCAGCUUGCUGGUUCUGGAUGAGUGGCGAACGGGUGAGUAACACGUGAGUAACCUGCCCCCUUCUUCUGGAUAACCGCAUGAAAGUGUGGCUAAUACGGGAUAUUCUGGGUCUGUCGCAUGAUGGGUCUGGGAAAGAUAUUGAUUCGGUGGUGGAUGGGCUCGCGGCCUAUCAGCUUGUUGGUGGGGUGAUGGCCUACCAAGGCGGUGACGCUUAGCCGGGCUGAGAGGGUGGCCGGUCACACUGGGAAUGAGACACAGCCUAGAAUGCUACGGGAGGCAGCAGUGGGGAAUAUUGCACAAUGGGCGCAAGCCUGAUGCAGCGACGCCGCGUGAGAGAUGGAGGCCUUCGGGUUGUAAACCUCUUUCGCCAGUGAAGCAGGCCUGCUACGUGUGGGUGGGUUGACGGUAGCUGGAGAAGAAGCGCCGGCUAACUACGUG
RNAcentral lists this ribosomal RNA (489 nucleotides) under uncultured bacterium. RNAcentral describes it as "partial 16S ribosomal RNA". It matches the Rfam family "Bacterial small subunit ribosomal RNA", at positions 28 to 507 of the family's 1533-position model. The record is from RNAcentral.